RNAcentral lists this long non-coding RNA (657 nucleotides) under Chinchilla lanigera (long-tailed chinchilla). Its description in RNAcentral is "lncRNA (ENSCLAG00000028212.1)". Lineage: Eukaryota; Metazoa; Chordata; Mammalia; Rodentia; Chinchillidae. The record is from RNAcentral.
GGUGAAUGUGUGCUGUACAGGUGUGGACAGUGUGACCUGCUGUGAGGCUCAGUUAAUUGUGUGAGCAGGAAUGGAAGCUGCUUGCGAAGGUCAAGUCUGGAAUGUGCUCAGUAAUGAAAGUAAGUGGUGCAUGGAACAUGAGAACAUGAACAGGCCGAGAGCAGAGGUGGCCCAAGUCAGUCAUUGCGCAAAGGAGGAAACCGAAGCCCAGAGAGGAAGGCAAGUGACCCAGGACGGCAGCCACUGAGUGGCCACAGAGUCACACCUGGACUCUGAAUCUUCAGACUCCUGGGCUGAGCCUCACAAGCCUCAUCUUUUGAUGUUGGGCAUAAAGGGCUGCACAGCAAUGCAGUCGGGUAGAACUGAGCACAGGCCUCAGCUUGGCAAAUGACCCUGAAAAGCUGCGGGGACGAUCAGAAGAUAAUAUGUGUCAGGCACUUCACACAGUGUCUGGGCCACAUUAGGUGCUCAAAAAGGGGCUGUCCACAGAAGAAGUCCACAUAGCGUCGUCCCAAGAAAAAUCUGUGUGCUGUGCCCGUGCAUUCACCAGCAUUAAGCCCACAAUUACCCAGUGUCCACUCCUUGAAGACAUGUGGUAAAGGAUCUUUGAUCAAUUUAAAAGUGAGUUUAGUAGCCAUAGAUACAGUGACUGCAGCU